RNAcentral lists this transfer RNA (73 nucleotides) under Rickettsiales bacterium. RNAcentral describes it as "tRNA-Met". It matches the Rfam family "tRNA". Rfam says of the family: Transfer RNA (tRNA) molecules are approximately 80 nucleotides in length. Their secondary structure includes four short double-helical elements and three loops (D, anti-codon, and T loops). Further hydrogen bonds mediate the characteristic L-shaped molecular structure. tRNAs have two regions of fundamental functional importance: the anti-codon, which is responsible for specific mRNA codon recognition, and the 3' end, to which the tRNAs corresponding amino acid is attached (by aminoacyl-tRNA synthetases). tRNAs cope with the degeneracy of the genetic code in two manners: having more than one tRNA (with a specific anti-codon) for a particular amino acid; and 'wobble' base-pairing, i.e. permitting non-standard base-pairing at the 3rd anti-codon position. Lineage: Bacteria; Pseudomonadati; Pseudomonadota; Alphaproteobacteria; Rickettsiales. The record is from RNAcentral.
GGGCCUAUAGUUUAAUAGGUAUAACAUACCGCUCAUAACGGUGAAAAUGUAGGUUCAAGUCCUACUAGGCCCA